This 390-nucleotide unclassified non-coding RNA is filed under the name soil metagenome. RNAcentral's name for it is "partial contains 5.8S ribosomal RNA, internal transcribed spacer 2, and large subunit ribosomal RNA". The stretch from base 1 to 122 matches the Rfam family "5.8S ribosomal RNA", at positions 35 to 154 of the family's 154-position model. The record is from RNAcentral.
GAUGAAGAACGUAGCGAAAUGCGAUACUUGGUGUGAAUUGCAGAAUCCCGUGAACCAUCGAGUCUUUGAACGCAAGUUGCGCCCGAAGCCAUUAGGCCGAGGGCACGCCUGCCUGGGCGUCACACGUCGUUGCCCCCCCAUCUACUCCUUCGGGAUUGCGGGGGGCGGAUGAUGGCCUCCCGUGCGCCUCGUCGCGCGGUUGGCAUAAAUGCCAAGUCCUCGGCGACACACGCCACGACAAUCGGUGGUUGCGAAACCUCGGUUGCCCGUCGUGUGCGGUCGUCGCGCAUCGAGGGCUCGAAAAAAUUGCCGGGCUCCGGCUCGGCUUUCAACGCGACCCCAGGUCAGGCGGGGUUACCCGCUGAAUUUAAGCAUAUCAAUAAGCGGAGG